This 492-nucleotide ribosomal RNA is filed under the name uncultured bacterium. RNAcentral describes it as "partial 16S ribosomal RNA". It matches the Rfam family "Bacterial small subunit ribosomal RNA", at positions 28 to 507 of the family's 1533-position model. The record is from RNAcentral.
GAUGAACGCUGGCGGCGUGCCUAAUACAUGCAAGUCGAGCGAACACACGGUGAGCUCUCUCCUCUAAGGGUGGCGGCUGACGGGUGGGUAACGCAUAGAUAACCUACCUCUAUGACUUGGGGGACAUCGGAGAACCACUUCUGAUACUACCGAAUAUGUUCAACGGGUGAAUUCAGUAGUUCAUGGCAGUUUUGCUGUUACUUUGAGAUGAUGUCGGAUCAGAUAGUUGGAGGGGUAAAGGCACACCAAGGCGACGAUACGUAGCUGAUCUGAGAGGAUGAUCGGCCACACUGGAACUGAGACACGGUCCAGACUCCUACGGGAGGCAGCAGUGGGGAAUAUUGGGCAAUGGGCGCAAGCCUGACGCAGCAAUGCCGCGUGAGUGAAGAAGGUCUUCGGAUCGUAAAACCCUGUUAUUAGGAAAGAACAACUGCGGAAGUAACUAUCGCUGUUCUGACGGUACCCAAUGAGAAAGCACCGGCUAACUUCGUG